This 71-nucleotide transfer RNA is filed under the name Rudarius ercodes (whitespotted pygmy filefish). RNAcentral describes it as "tRNA-Pro". It matches the Rfam family "tRNA". From Rfam's summary of the family: Transfer RNA (tRNA) molecules are approximately 80 nucleotides in length. Their secondary structure includes four short double-helical elements and three loops (D, anti-codon, and T loops). Lineage: Eukaryota; Metazoa; Chordata; Actinopteri; Tetraodontiformes; Monacanthidae. The record is from RNAcentral.
GCAAUAGUAGCUCAGCGUAGAGCGCCGAUUUUGUAAGCCGGAGGCCGAGGGUUAAAAACCCUCCUGUUGCU